Long non-coding RNA from Xenopus laevis (African clawed frog), 3014 nucleotides. RefSeq lists it as uncharacterized. The record is from RefSeq and is a predicted model, not a curated record. The transcript is spliced from 2 exons. NCBI's taxonomy places the organism in Eukaryota, Metazoa, Chordata, Amphibia, Anura, Pipidae.
AAACUUAAAAUCAGGGGAUGUAAAAUUGAGGUUUCACUGUACUGUAUAUCAUAUUUUAUUAGAAACAUGUUUUAACAUUUGGACUCUAAUAAAUAGCCCCCACAGAGUUGCUGACACACUGACCAUUAAAAAGAAAGAUUAACCCAAAAGUCUGGUAUUUAGCGGUUAGAAACUGCUUAAAAUAGAAAAUGAACUGCUAUCUCUGAGUAAUACACCAGUUUAUUUUUUGUGUUUAGAUCCACUUAAACUGACUCCUGUACCCUUUAAAUUGGUUAUUACAAUACAUACACACUAGAGCAAACGAGACACAUUGAUAAUCUAUUGUGCAAUUUUUUUAUGCUAUUGCAGCAACACAAGUUCACAUUUUUACCACCAAAUCUAUAACAUUAGGAUCAUUUGGACAGAUGGCUACUGUUAGACAAUUUUUGUAGUAUCCAGGGCUAUCCAUAUAAUGCUCAACUUCUGCUUUUCUUCUCUACACACACACAGACAGGCCAGUUAUUGAGUGAUCAAAUGAAAUAUGUUUUUUAGCUAAACACACAUGGUUGACCAAUUUGCAGAAAUCCAAUACUUUUUGCAAGAAAUAAAUUGCAUUGUGCAAUUACAUCUGUUUGCACUUCCAGGUUAGCCAGUGAACCAAAAUACACUGACUGUGGUAAUCAGUGCUCUAAAUGUUUAGUUUUGAGUGAACACAUGGGAACAGGGUGCAACUGGUUAUAUAAAAUAAUUGUCCCUAGCACAAUUAUUUUAACACCCUAAGGGUUUUUUGUUUUGUUUGUUUUUUGCUUAUUUAGUUCAGGCACCCUUUGGAAACCCUACAUUUGAUCAGUGCCCUAUUUUAUUGUUAACAAGAUUAUGGAUAUAUGUUAUAAGAAAACCUGCUACAACUAAGUAGCCAUAGUUCCAUCAAUAUAUAGAGCAUCCAUUAAGAGUUUGCCCAAAAGCAGCAUUUUGACCACAGUAUUGAUCUCAGGAAGAACAAAGCAGGGUGAAAUUCCUAUAUUGCAUAUGUUGGGUGAGGACUCCAUGCCUGAAGUGUAUAAGAAGUGUGUAUAUAGCAUUGGCUAUCCUAUUCCACAUGUCUCUUUAACACUAAGGGGCUAAAAUUCAGAAUUUUUUUCUGUAAAACCGUAUAUUCUUUUUAUUUUUUUAAAACUCCAAAAACAUUUAUCAAGUGUAAAACCACUAAAAACUCGAAUACAAACUUCUCCGAGUAAAAGUAGUCAAGGUGCUAUAGAAGUCAAUGGAAGCUGUGCGGAUCCUUUUUUAAAGCAUUCAGACUUUUAGAGGUUUUUGGAUUUCUUUUCACUAGUAAUUAUCCGAAAAACUCUUAUUAUUAGAGGUUUAGAGAUUUUCAUAGUCAUUAGUGCAUCAUCAGCGUUUUUUUUUACUUUCAUACUUUUUGUAAUAGCAUCUGGAGAAUAAUGGAAUAAUAGAAUGGAGAGAAUAAACAGUUUGUGCAAAAAACUGUUUGCAUAAACCACACUACACUGAAACCACCACCUCUUGCCUUUCAUAGAGUUAAAUGGCAAUUACCUAUAUAUCUGCCAGUUGCUCCCUCAGAACACUCUGCACGAUGUCUAAGGGCUCUUACACACGGGCGUUUACUUAUGCGUUUUUCAAACGCAUGUUGAGUGUGUUCAAAUUUCCAUUUGCGUUUAUCUGCGUUUUUUUAGACGCAGUUAUAUGCGUUUUAUAUGCGUUUUGUGUUGUCUCCUCUUUCUGUAAACGCAUGUGCGUUUGUUGAAUGUAUAAAAUUCCAUGACCUCAACUUUCUAUUUCCUGUGACUUUUGACCCUCAGAUUCAGUGUGCUCUAUAACUAUGGAUUUAUAUGACAUAUUGAAUUGUUUUCUCCAAGCAACAUGCUUAUUUUUUCUUUGUUUUAGGAAGAAGAGGAUUGUCCCAAGGAAGAUUUCUUGCUACAGGGGAAUCACUGUCCUCCUUACAUUUUCAUUUUUUGCUUGGUAAGAUGACAGUUUGUUCGAUCGUCCAUGAAACAUGCAAGGCAAUAUGGUUGUGUUUGAAAGAGCAAGUUAUGCCUGAACCCAACACACAAAUGUGGGAGGGUAUUACAGAGAACUUCUACAGAACCACUCAGUUUCCCAACUGUCUUGGAGCACUAGAUGGGAAACACAUCCGUAUACGCAAGCCACCAAGAAGUGGAUCAAAGUUUUUUAAUUAUAAAAAAUACUUUUCCAUUGUUUUAUUAGCAUUAGUUGACAGCAAUUAUAAGUUCAUUGCAAUUGAUGUUGGUGCAUAUGGCAGCACAGGUGAUUCCCGUAUUUUUAAAAAUUCUGUUAUGGGCCGCCACAUCACAAGUGGCAGAAUGAAAUUUCCAAAUCCAAAGUGUUUACCUGGAGGUCAAAUUGCAUUACCACAUGUUUUAGUUGCUGAUGAAGCUUUUGCAAGUUCUCAAAAUAUCUUAAAACCAUACCCACAGAGAGGGCUUGAUAUUCGCAAACGGGUAUAUAACUAUAGGCUGAGUAGAGCACGCAGAAUGGUAGAGUGUGCUUUUGGAAUUUUAGCCAAUAAAUGGCGCAUUUUACAUACCUCUAUCCAGCUGGAUGUGAAACAUGUGGAUAUGGUCAUUAAAGCAUGCUGUGUGCUACAUAAUUUUCUAAGAUUAAAAGACAGAUAUUUCAGUUUUGAUGAUAUGUGUCAUAAUUUGACUGAUGUUCAUUGCCAUGCUACUCGCUCUACUAUACAUGCCCUUCAGAUACGAGAUCAUUUUGCAGAUUUUUUUCUUUCUCCCGAAGGUGAAGUACAUUGGCAAUACCACAAAAUGUAAAAAACAUAUUCCUAAACUGUACACAUGAGUUACAAUAAUUGUCGUUUUGUUAACACACAGACAUGAUCUUUAUUGUGUGUUUAUAUUUCAUCUGUAUUCUGUAAUUUCUUAAUAUUCUGUAUGUUGUUUUGGUUUAACAAUACAAAAACCAGUCAAGACAAUAAAUGCUGUAAAACAAGAAUGUUUAUUCACAUUUUAGUUAAACAAUAAAGAAAAGUAUUGUCA